CAGUAGCCGCGGUAAUACGAAGGGUGCAAGCGUUAAUCGGAAUUACUGGGCGUAAAGCGCACGUAGGCGGAUCGAUCAGUCAGGGGUGAAAUCCCAGAGCUCAACUCUGGAACUGCCUUUGAUACUGUCGAUCUGGAGUAUGGAAGAGGUGAGUGGAAUUCCGAGUGUAGAGGUGAAAUUCGUAGAUAUUCGGAGGAACACCAGUGGCGAAGGCGGCUCACUGGUCCAUUACUGACGCUGAGGUGCGAAAGCGUGGGGAGCAAACAGGAUUAGAUACCCCCGUAGUCCCUGUCUCUUAUAC
RNAcentral lists this ribosomal RNA (301 nucleotides) under uncultured bacterium. Its description in RNAcentral is "partial 16S ribosomal RNA". It matches the Rfam family "Bacterial small subunit ribosomal RNA", at positions 509 to 807 of the family's 1533-position model. The record is from RNAcentral.